This 536-nucleotide ribosomal RNA is filed under the name uncultured bacterium. RNAcentral's name for it is "bacterial SSU rRNA". It matches the Rfam family "Bacterial small subunit ribosomal RNA", at positions 8 to 526 of the family's 1533-position model. The record is from RNAcentral.
AGAGUUUGAUCAUGGCUCAGAACGAACGCUGGCGGCGUGCCUAACACAUGCAAGUCGAGCGCGAAUGGAGCAAUCCUAGUAGAGCGGCGCACGGGUGCGUAACACGUGGGUAAUCUGCCUAGAAGACCGGAAUAACCUGCCGAAAGGCUGGCUAAUACCGGAUAAGCCUACAGAAUCCUUGGAUUCAGAAGGAAAAGGUGGCCUCUGUUUACAUGCUAUCACUUCUAGAUGAGCCCGCGGCCCAUCAGCUAGUUGGCGGGGUAAUGGCCCACCAAGGCAACGACGGGUAGCUGGUCUGAGAGGACGAUCAGCCACACUGGAACUGAGACACGGUCCAGACUCCUACGGGAGGCAGCAUGGGGGAAUUUUGCACAAUGGGCGAAAGCCUGAUGCAGCAACGCCGCGUGUGUGAUGAAGGUCUUCGGAUCGUAAAGCACUUUCGACCGGGACGAAAACCCGUUGGCUAACAUCCAACGGCUUGACGGUACCGGGAGAAGAAGCACCGGCUAACUCUGUGCCAGCCGCCGCGGUAAUAC